CAGUUCAGAUUGCAGGCUGAAACUCGCCUGCGUGAAGUUGGAAUUGCUAGUAAUCGUGAAUCAGCAUGUCACGGUGAAUACGUUCCCGGGUCUUGUACACACCGCCCGUCAAACCAUGAGAGUUGGGAAUGCCCGAAGUCUGUUGUCUAACCGCAAGGGGGACGCAGCCGAAGGCAGGCUCAAUGAUUGGGGUUAAGUCGUAACAAGGUAAC
This 212-nucleotide ribosomal RNA is filed under the name uncultured bacterium. RNAcentral describes it as "partial 16S ribosomal RNA". It matches the Rfam family "Bacterial small subunit ribosomal RNA", at positions 1289 to 1500 of the family's 1533-position model. The record is from RNAcentral.